This 253-nucleotide ribosomal RNA is filed under the name uncultured bacterium. Its description in RNAcentral is "partial 16S ribosomal RNA". It matches the Rfam family "Bacterial small subunit ribosomal RNA", at positions 524 to 776 of the family's 1533-position model. The record is from RNAcentral.
UACGGAGGGGGCAAGCGUUAUUCGGAAUUAUUGGGCGUAAAGGGCGCGUAGGCGGCUAGAUGUGUCAAAGGUGAAAUCCCUCGGCUCAACUGAGGAACUGCCUUUGAAACUGUCUGGCUUGAGGCCGGGAGAGGGUAGCGGAAUUCCCAGUGUAGCGGUGAAAUGCGUAGAUAUUGGGAGGAACACCAGUGGCGAAGGCGGCUACCUGGACCGGUUCUGACGCUGAGGCGCGAAGGCGUGGGGAGCAAACAGG